This 290-nucleotide unclassified non-coding RNA is filed under the name Hevea brasiliensis (rubber tree). Lineage: Eukaryota; Viridiplantae; Streptophyta; Magnoliopsida; Malpighiales; Euphorbiaceae. The record is from RNAcentral.
UCACGUGAAAAAGAAGUUCUUCAGGUAUACGAUAGAAAUGAAUACCUUAUUCCUUUCUUUCAUACAUGAAAAGUAUAUGAUAAAUUUGAAUGCAACAAUUUGGAAUCAUAUGUUUUCCAUGAUUGAAAGGCUUAAUGCUUCUUACUGGACCCUGCAGGAUUUUUAUUUGGUUAAGUAGUUAUUGCGUCCAGAUAUAUUUUAAAUUGUGUCUGCACUGAUUCUUUUUGGAAUAUGCUUUAUUUUUCAAAUUAUUUUUUUGAUGUUACCAGCUAAAGAAAGAGGGAAGGAGG